AUAGAUAGUCGGGCUUGAUUGGGAAACAUAACAUGGGUUAUGUGCUCGUUUUGGGUAAAUAGAGUUUCUAUCAUUUAUGGUAGUUUAUUGUUCCCCGGAUAGUAUAGUUACGUAGCCAAUUGUGGAACUUUAUUGCUAAAAUUUUUAAGAAUARUAGUUGGGCAACCGAUUAGUUCUUUUAAAUUAUAACGAUUAUCAAUUAACAAUCAAUUCAGAACUGGCACGGACUUGGGGAAUCCGACUGUCUAAUUAAAACAAAGCAUUGUGAUGGCCCUAGCGGGUGUUGACACAAUGUGAUUUCUGCCCAGUGCUCUGAAUGUCAAAGUGAAGAAAUUCAAGUAAGCGCGGGUCAACGGCGGGAGUAAUUAUGACUUUUUUAAGGUAGCCAAAUGCCUCGUCAUCUAAUUAGUGACGCGCAUGAAUGGAUUAACGAGAUUCCUACUGUCCCUAUCUACUAUCUAGCGAAACCACAGCCAAGGGAACGGGCUUGGAAUAAUUAGCGGGGAAAGAAGACCCUUUUGAGCUUGACUCUAAUCUGGCAGUGUAAGGAGACAUAAGAGGUGUAGAAUAAGUGGGAGAUAUUAGGCUUCGGUUUGAUAUCGCCAAUGAAAUACCACUACUCUUAUUGUUUCCUUACUUACUUGAUUAAGUGGAACGAGUAUCAUUUCCUAGCCAUUAUACGGAUAUAUUAUUAUAUCUUAUGGUAUUGGGUUUUGAUGCAAGCUUCUUGAUCAAAGUAUCACGAGUUUGUUAUAUAAUCGCAAACAAAUUAUUUAAUGAGAGAAUGCAGUUAUGUAUUUUUGAUUUAAAUAUUUGGUAUAACUCCAAUUACUCAGGUAUGAUCCAAUUCAAGGACAUUGCCAGGUAUGGAGUUUGACUGGGGCGGUACAUCUCUCAAAUAAUAACGGAUGUGUCCCAAGGCCAGCUCAGUGCGGACAGAAACCACACAUAGGAGCAAAAGGGCAAAUGCUGACUUGAUCUCGGUGUUCAGUACACACAGGGACAGCAAAAGCUCGGCCUAUCGAUCCUUUUGGUUUAAAGAGUUUUUAACAAGAGGUGUCAUAAAAGUUACCAUAGGGAUAACUGGCUUGUGGCGGCCAAGCGUUCAUAGCGACGUCGCUUUUUGAUCCUUCGAUGUCGGCUCUUCCUAUCAUUGUGAAGCAAAAUUCACCAAGCGUUGGAUUGUUCACCCAUGCAAGGGAACGUGAGCUGGGUUUAGACCGUCGUGAGACAGGUUAGUUUUACCCUACUAAUGACAAAACGUUGUUGCGACAGCAUUCCUGCGUAGUACGAGAGGAACCGCAGGUACGGACCAAUGGCACAAUACUUGUUCGAGCGAACAGUGGUAUGACGCUACGUCCGUUGGAUUAUGCCUGAACGCCUCUAAGGUCGUAUCCGUGCUGGACUGCAAUGAUAAAUAAGGGGCAAUUUGCAUUGUAUGGCUUCUAAACCAUUAAAAGUUUAUAAUUCAUUUUAUAGGCGACAAUGGAUGUGAUGCCAAUGUUACAUAUAACAUAGUAAAUUGGGAGGAUCACCGAUCACCUGAUGCCGCGCUAGUUAUAUUUUAAAACAUUAUUUAAUACAAUGACAAAGCCUGGAAUCAAUUGUAAACGACUUUUGUAACAGGCAAGGUGUUGUAAGUGGUUGAGCAGCUGCCAUACUGCGAUCCACUGAAGCUUAUCCUUUGCUUGAUGAUUCGA
Molecule: ribosomal RNA, 1700 nt
Filed under: Drosophila canalinea
Lineage: Eukaryota; Metazoa; Arthropoda; Insecta; Diptera; Drosophilidae
Description: eukaryotic LSU rRNA
Rfam family: Eukaryotic large subunit ribosomal RNA
Source: RNAcentral